UCUGUAGCUCAGUUGGAUAGAGCAACGGCCUUCUAAGCCGUAGGUCAUGGGUUCGAAUCCCCUCAG
Molecule: transfer RNA, 66 nt
Filed under: Anaerostipes rhamnosivorans
Lineage: Bacteria; Bacillati; Bacillota; Clostridia; Lachnospirales; Lachnospiraceae
Rfam family: tRNA
About the family: Transfer RNA (tRNA) molecules are approximately 80 nucleotides in length. Their secondary structure includes four short double-helical elements and three loops (D, anti-codon, and T loops). Further hydrogen bonds mediate the characteristic L-shaped molecular structure. tRNAs have two regions of fundamental functional importance: the anti-codon, which is responsible for specific mRNA codon recognition, and the 3' end, to which the tRNAs corresponding amino acid is attached (by aminoacyl-tRNA synthetases). tRNAs cope with the degeneracy of the genetic code in two manners: having more than one tRNA (with a specific anti-codon) for a particular amino acid; and 'wobble' base-pairing, i.e. permitting non-standard base-pairing at the 3rd anti-codon position.
Source: RNAcentral